RNAcentral lists this ribosomal RNA (497 nucleotides) under uncultured bacterium. RNAcentral's name for it is "partial 16S ribosomal RNA". It matches the Rfam family "Bacterial small subunit ribosomal RNA", at positions 28 to 507 of the family's 1533-position model. The record is from RNAcentral.
GAUGAACGCUGGCGGCGUGCCUAAUACAUGCAAGUCGAGCGAACAGACGAGGAGCUUGCUCCUCUGACGUUAGCGGCGGACGGGGGAGUAACACGUGGAUAACCUACUUAUAAGACUGGGAUAACUUCGGGAAACCGGAGCUAAUACCGGAUAAUAUAUUGAACCGCAUGGUUCAAUAGUGAAAGACGGUUUUGCUGUCACUUAUAGAUGGAUCCGCGCCGCAUUAGCUGGUUGGUAAGGUAACGGCUUACCAAGGCAACGAUGCGUAGCCGACCUGAGAGGGUGAUCGGCCACACUAGAACGGAGACACGGUCCAGACGCCUACGGGAGGCAGCAGUAGGGAAUAUUCCGCAAUGGGCGAAAGCCUGACGGAGCAACGCCGCGUGAGUGAUGAAGGUCUUCGGAUCGUAAAACUCUGUUAUUAGGGAAGAACAAAUGUGUAAGUAACUAUGCACGUCUUGACGGUACCUAAUCAGAAAGCCACGGCUAACUACGUG